This 276-nucleotide long non-coding RNA is filed under the name Gallus gallus (chicken). Its description in RNAcentral is "long non-coding RNA NONGGAT002105". The record is from RNAcentral. Lineage: Eukaryota; Metazoa; Chordata; Aves; Galliformes; Phasianidae.
CUUUUGCAAAAGGAAGGUGCGGAUUGACUUUGGUAAUGGAAGAGAAGAAUUAAGGAGCAAGAAUAGAUCAUGAAAUGGAAGACUGGGCUGGGAGAUAGGAAGGGCAGAAGAAAAGCGCAAGUGCCAGGAGAAGAGGAUCCUGGAGGAGGGCCAGGAAACACAGCUAUAAAGAGAUUUGCUCUCUGUUUGAGGUUUUAGGAGCAAUGGAUCAAGGAUGACCCAAUUUAGGAGCUUUCCCAUCAGAGUGGAAAAUGCAUGAAGUUUACUCAUCUUCAC